RNAcentral lists this ribosomal RNA (490 nucleotides) under uncultured bacterium. Its description in RNAcentral is "partial 16S ribosomal RNA". It matches the Rfam family "Bacterial small subunit ribosomal RNA", at positions 30 to 507 of the family's 1533-position model. The record is from RNAcentral.
AUUGAACGCUGGCGGCAGGCCUAACACAUGCAAGUCGAACGGUAACAGGAAGAAGCUUGCUUCUUUGCUGACGAGUGGCGGUCGGGUGAGUAAUGUCUGGGAAACUGCCUGAUGGAGGGGGAUAACUACUGGAAACGGUAGCUAAUACCGCAUAACGUCGCAAGACCAAAAAGGGGGACCUUCGGGCCUCUUGCCAUCGGAUGUGCCCAGAUGGGAUUAGCUAGUAGGUGGGGUAACGGCUCACCUAGGCGACGAUCCCUAGCUGGUCUGAGAGGAUGACCAGCCACACUGGAACUGAGACACGGGCCAGACUCCUACGGGAGGCAGCAGUGGGGAAUAUUGCACAAUGGGCGCAAGCCUGAUGCAGCCAUGCCGCGUGUAUGAAGAAGGCCUUCGGGUUGUAAAGUACUUUCAGCGGGGAGGAAGGGAGUAAAGUUAAUACCUUUGCUCAUUGACGUUACCCGCAGAAGAAGCACCGGCUAACUCCGUG